Molecule: small nucleolar RNA, 134 nt
Organism: Otolemur garnettii (small-eared galago)
Lineage: Eukaryota; Metazoa; Chordata; Mammalia; Primates; Galagidae
Gene: SNORA70
Rfam family: Small nucleolar RNA SNORA70
About the family: snoRNA U70 seems to be exclusive to mammals and is a member of the H/ACA class of snoRNA which contain H (ANANNA) and ACA box motifs. H/ACA box snoRNAs are involved in the conversion of uridines to pseudouridines (5-ribosyluracil) a constituent of structural RNAs (transfer, ribosomal, small nuclear, and small nucleolar).
Source: Ensembl
AUUCAUAUACAUGGUUGUUCCUGUGCCUUUCCUCCUGGGGGCCCGGUGUGCAGCUGCUACAAACAGCAGCCUCUUUGGUAGCGUAUGCAGCCUGUUGCUUGUAUAGGUUGCUCUAAGGGACCUUGGAGACAUUC